GAUGAAGAACGUAGCGAAAUGCGAUAAGUAAUGUGAAUUGCAGAAUUCAGUGAAUCAUCGAAUCUUUGAACGCACAUUGCGCCCGCCAGUAUUCUGGCGAGCAUGCCUGUUCGAGCGUCAUUUCAACCAUCAAGCCCCAGGCUUGUGUUGGAGCCCUGCGGCUGCCGCAGCCUCCCAAAACCAGUGGCGGGCUCGCUAUCACACCGAGUGCAGUAGUUUACUCUUCGCUCAGGGCGUGUGGUGGGUGCUAGCCGUGAAACCCCCAACUUCUCAAGGUUGACCUCGGAUCAGGUAGGAAUACCCGCUGAACUUAAGCAUAUCAAUAAGCGGAGGA
Molecule: unclassified non-coding RNA, 334 nt
Filed under: soil metagenome
Description: partial contains 5.8S ribosomal RNA, internal transcribed spacer 2, and large subunit ribosomal RNA
Rfam family: 5.8S ribosomal RNA (bases 1-120)
Source: RNAcentral